Non-coding RNA from Plutella xylostella (diamondback moth), 331 nucleotides. Lineage: Eukaryota; Metazoa; Arthropoda; Insecta; Lepidoptera; Plutellidae. The record is from RefSeq and is a predicted model, not a curated record.
UUUACCUACGGUGAGAAAUAAUUACCGUACCUAAAUAUAUCACAAACAGUGAAAAAUACAAUUAAAGAUAAUCUCAAUUAUCUUAUAUAAUUAUCACAUUCCUUUGCACUUAAAUCAGUUGUUUCCGGCCAAUUUUAUAUAUUAUAUUUGUAAAUAUUUAUAAUGAUGGGCUUUUCGUUUGGCGCAAAAGAACCAAGAGGACGCUUUUUUCUGGGAGAGAGAAAGUCUGACUCUUGUGCUCUGUCAGUUGGGGCUGUUUCCCGGGAAGGGCCAGGUUGUGGCUCCAUAACGUUUAUAAAAAUCAACAAACGAUCACAACGCGAAAAGUCAA